Molecule: transfer RNA, 78 nt
Filed under: Clostridiaceae bacterium
Lineage: Bacteria; Bacillati; Bacillota; Clostridia; Eubacteriales; Clostridiaceae
Also listed under: 1 other name
Description: tRNA-Pro
Rfam family: tRNA
About the family: Transfer RNA (tRNA) molecules are approximately 80 nucleotides in length.
Source: RNAcentral
CGGGGUGUAGCUCAGUUUGGCUAGAGUGCUUGCUUGGGGUGCAAGAGGUCGCUGGUUCAAGUCCAGUCACUCCGACCA